UUGCACAGCGAACACCCAGGGAUGCUAGUGUGGCUCUCCCUGGUCUCCAGUGUCUGUGCUACAAUGACUCUGAUCUUAUCCUCUGCAUUAGGAGAGUUUAGUCUCUCCUACAUGUAUUCAGCUGAUCAGAACAAAC
Small nucleolar RNA from Neolamprologus brichardi, 136 nucleotides. Lineage: Eukaryota; Metazoa; Chordata; Actinopteri; Cichliformes; Cichlidae. The record is from Ensembl.